GACGUAGGGCGCGAGCGUUGUCCGGAUUUAUUGGGCGUAAAGAGCUCGUAGGCGGCUUGUCGCGUCGUCCGUGAAAACCUGGGGCUCAACCCCAGGCUUGCGGUCGAUACGGGCAGGCUCGAGUUCGGUAGGGGAGACUGGAAUUCCAGGUGUAGCGGUGAAAUGCGUAGAGAUCUGGAGGAACACCGAUGGCGAAGGCAGCCUUCUGGGCCAACACUGACGCUCAUGCACGAAAGCGUGGGGAGCAAACAGG
RNAcentral lists this ribosomal RNA (253 nucleotides) under uncultured bacterium. Its description in RNAcentral is "partial 16S ribosomal RNA". It matches the Rfam family "Bacterial small subunit ribosomal RNA", at positions 524 to 776 of the family's 1533-position model. The record is from RNAcentral.